Molecule: ribosomal RNA, 406 nt
Filed under: uncultured bacterium
Lineage: Bacteria
Description: partial 16S ribosomal RNA
Rfam family: Bacterial small subunit ribosomal RNA
Source: RNAcentral
AUCGAACGCUGGCGGCAGGCUUAACACAUGCAAGUCGAGCGAGCGGCGGACGGGUGAGUAAUGUGUGGGAAACUGCCUGAUGGAGGGGGAUAAAUACUGGAAACGGUAGCUAAUACCGCAUACCAUCAGCUGUGGCCAGCUGGGAUUAUCUAGUGGGUGGGGUAAUGGCUCACCUAGGUGACGAUCCCUAGCUGGUCUGAGAGGAUGACCAGCCACACUGGAACUGAGACACGGUCCAGACUCCUACGGGAGGCAGCAGUGGGGAAUAUUGCACAAUGGGCGCAAUCCUGAUGCAGCCAUGCCGCGUGUGUGAAGAAGGCCUUCGGGUUGUAAAGCACUUUCAGCGAGGAGGCGUUACUCGCAGAAGAAGCACCGGCUAACUCCGUGCCAGCAGCCGCGGUAAUUC